RNAcentral lists this transfer RNA (25 nucleotides) under Meloidogyne enterolobii. Its description in RNAcentral is "partial tRNA-His". The record is from RNAcentral. Lineage: Eukaryota; Metazoa; Nematoda; Chromadorea; Rhabditida; Meloidogynidae.
AUAGCUAUUAAUUUCAAUUGAAUUU